CGGGCAGCGCCACACACCUGCCCCGUGUGCCCGAGCGCUGCCCGCCCGCCGGCCCGGCCCGGGGGACGGACACCGCCCGCGCGGAGCUGACGGGACUAGUGCCUCAGCCGAGCUAGUCGCCAGGAUUAGCUGUAAAGACAAAAAAAGGUGAGCAGACUGCAGGGGAGCCUCUGCUGAAGCACCACUACAUUCUGCAACAAGUGACAGCUCAACAUUCCAUAGAUGUUCAUGAAAGGUGAGGCUCCAAUCAAGAGUUACUCCAAGAUAUUUUGGGAACUUCUUAUGUUUAACCGCUUCUCCACAGAAAGUAAUGAUUGCUGCCAUUAAAAAGAAAAUAUCCACAUUGACAGAACCAAGAAGAUCUAACAAACCAGUCUUUGUUCUUGCACAUCUGCUUCACUGUCAUAUGACUCUCUACAUGGAAUCCAUCACGGACUGAGCUUAGAUGCUGGCAAUCCAUCAGCAUUUAAAGACAGAAUAACCAAUCUGAAUGUCGCAUGGGCUGCAGCAGUGUGCUGACAAGGUCAUGGGUUGAGAGCCACAGCUCUAGCAUUUUUUCUUUUGUGCCCACUUUUAGAAUAAAAGUUCUAGUGGUGAUGGUAGGAUUCCAACCCUCCAGCCCCAACCCCUGGUACCUCUUUAGUUCUACUGGCAACAGUAGCAGCAGUGUGGAUGUCUCAUGAUGUUGACUCCUGUACCUUGCCAUUAGGAUUCCAAUUCUCUGGAGUCCAAUCUCCUGUACCUCUGGUUUCAGUAGCAAAGUGGCUGGGGUCUCUGAUUUCUCAGAAACAGCAGCGGGGGCAAAGGCCUAGCAGGGCAGCUCCCCACCCUGGGCAACUGAAAUGCACAGGGAACCUCACCCCUGUCAAAAUAGUCUGACAACUCUACUGAUUAAACAGAGGAGGGCCUACC
Long non-coding RNA from Alligator sinensis (Chinese alligator), 912 nucleotides. RefSeq lists it as uncharacterized. The record is from RefSeq and is a predicted model, not a curated record. Lineage: Eukaryota; Metazoa; Chordata; Crocodylia; Alligatoridae. The transcript has 5 exons.